CGUAGGGUGCGAGCGUUAAUCGGAAUUACUGGGCGUAAAGCGUGCGCAGGCGGUUCGUUAAGUCAGAUGUGAAAGCCCCGGGCUCAACCUGGGAACUGCAUUUGAAACUGGCGGGCUUGAGUGUGGCAGAGGGGGGUGGAAUUCCGCGUGUAGCAGUGAAAUGCGUAGAGAUGCGGAGGAACACCGAUGGCGAAGGCAGCCCCCUGGGCCAACACUGACGCUCAGGCACGAAAGCGUGGGGAGCAAACAGGAUUAGAUACCCUGGUAGUCCACGCCCUAAACGAUGCUCACUAGGUGUUGGGGAAGCGAUUCCUUGGUACCGUAGCUAACGCGUGAAGUGAGCCGCCUGGGGAGUACGGCCGCAAGGUUA
This 370-nucleotide ribosomal RNA is filed under the name uncultured organism. RNAcentral describes it as "bacterial SSU rRNA". It matches the Rfam family "Bacterial small subunit ribosomal RNA", at positions 526 to 896 of the family's 1533-position model. The record is from RNAcentral.